RNAcentral lists this non-coding RNA (24 nucleotides) under Arabidopsis thaliana (thale cress). Lineage: Eukaryota; Viridiplantae; Streptophyta; Magnoliopsida; Brassicales; Brassicaceae. The record is from RNAcentral.
CAAACCCGUCCCGCCAACCUGUCC